This 578-nucleotide ribosomal RNA is filed under the name uncultured bacterium. RNAcentral describes it as "bacterial SSU rRNA". It matches the Rfam family "Bacterial small subunit ribosomal RNA", at positions 53 to 591 of the family's 1533-position model. The record is from RNAcentral.
UCAUGCAGUCGACGGAUUUUUUAAGGAAGUUCCUUCGGGAAUGGAAUUUAAAAAGUUAGUGGCGGACGGGUGAGUAACGCGUGGAUAACCUGCCCAUAGGUUGGGAACAACUCCGGGAAACCGGAGCUAAUACCGAAUAACAUUUAUUGAACGCAUGUUUAAUAAAUCAAAGAAGGCCUCUCGAAGAAGCUUUUGCCAAUGGAUGGAUCCGCGUCUGAUUAGCUAGUUGGUAAGGCAACGGCUUACCAAGGCGACGAUCAGUAGCCGGCCUGAGAGGGUGAACGGCCACACUGGGACUGAGACACGGCCCAGACUCCUACGGGAGGCAGCAGUGGGGAAUCUUCCGCAAUGGGCGAAAGCCUGACGGAGCAAUGCCGCGUGAAUGAAGAAGGCCUUCGGGUUGUAAAGUUCUGUUGAGAAGGAAGAAAGGUAUUAGAGCUAAUACCUCUAGUAUUUGACGGUACUCUUUGAGGAAGCCCCGGCUAACUACGUGCCAGCAGCCGCGGUAAUACGUAGGGGGGCGAGCGUUAUCCGGAAUUAUUGGGCGUAAAGAGUGCGUAGGUGGUAUCUAAAGCGUG